UUUUUUUUUUUUUUUUUGUCUCUUUGCCAUUUCUUGGGCCGCUUCCACGGCAUAUGGAGGUUCCCAGGCUAGGGGUCGAAUCGGAACUGUAGCUGCCAGCCUACGCCAGAGCCAUAGCAACGCAGGAUCCGAGCCACAUCUGCAACCUACACCACAGCUCACGGCAACGCCGGAUCGUUAACCCACUGAGCAAGGGCAAGGAUCGAACCCGCAACCUCAUGGUUCCUAGUCGGAUUCGUUAACCACUGUGCCAUGACAGGAACUCCCCUUAUUGCCUUUAAUAUUCUUUCUUUGUAUUUAAUUUUUAUCAGUUUGAUCUCCGUGUGUUCCUCCUUGGUUUUAUCCUGUAUGGGACUCUCUGUGCUUCCCUGACUUGAGUGUGUUUCCUUUCCCAUUUAGGGGAGUUUUCAGCUAUAAUCUCUUCAAAUAUUUUCUUAUGCCCUUUCUGUCUCUCUCCUCCUUCAGGGAUCCCAGCAUUGCAAAUGUCAAUAUGUUUAAUGUUGUCCCAGAGAUCUCUUAGACUGUCCUCAUUUCUUUUCAUUCUUUUUUCUUUAUUCUUUUUCAUGGGAGUGAUUCCCACCUCUGUCUUCCACCUCACUUAUUCUUUUUUUUUUUUUUGCAUCAGUUAAUCUGCUAUUGAUUCCUUCUGUUUUUUAUUUUUUCAUUUCAUAUAUGGUAUUGUUCAUCUUUGUUCCUUAAAUCUUCUCUUGGUUAAACAUUUCUUAUAACUUCUUGAUCUGUACCUCCAUUCUUUUUCUGAGAUCUUGGAUCAUCCUUACUAUUUUAACUCUGAAUUCUUUUUCAGAUAGUUUUCCUAUCCCCUCUUCAUUUAGUUGUUUUUGUGGGUUUUUAUCUUGUUCCCUUGUUUGAAACAUAUUUCUCUGUCAUUUCGUUUUGCCUGUUGGCUGUUGUUUGUGGUUUCUUUUCUGCAGGCUGUAGGGUUCCUCUUGUUUAUGCUGUCCAUUCCCUGGUGGGUAGAGCUGCAUCUUGUCCCUCUGGUGGGCAUGGCUGUGUUAAGGAAUGUGUUCAGAGGUGGCUGUGGGCUUAGUAUGACCUUAGGCAGGCUGUCUGGGUUUAAUAAUUUUUUAGUGUGAGAGCUGUUUUUAGUUUGGAUGCCUGAUACUUCUUUCCUCGAUGUAUGCUGACACAUUAUCCCUUUUAUAGGAGAUGUGACUGAUGGUGUGGUGACCAGAGCUUGUACUGGAUAUUGAGUGGGGUCUUUGCUCUGUGGCCGUCACUUCACUAUAAGGGGCAGGGUCUGCUUUCUAAUUUUUGGAAUAGAGCUAGGCUGUGUUUCUGAUCUGCUGUGUGAGGUAGGAGGAAUUGCAGCACUCCCACUGGGAGAGGAGCCACUGAGUAUUCCUCCACUGGAGUUGUUCACCUGUGAAUGUGCUCUGUUGUAUUACCUUUCACCUGUUCUAUGGGGUCAAAAAGAGCACUGUUUUUGAUAUAUCCCUUGGCCCCCUGAUAUAUGUCAGUAAUUGGCCCUGGUGUCUCUCAGGUGUUAUUUUCACCUGGCUGCCAGUGCAGAGCCACUAAAAUCAGGACCCCUAGAUGCAACAUUUAUGUAUCUGGGCCUGCUGUGGGAGCUAUGGAGGCAGCUAAGACUCUGGACUGAUCCAGAUUUAUACACCCACAAAGCCCACAUCUGCUAGAAUCAGAAUCCUUUCAGCUGCGGGAGCACUUACUGUCCAUUUGGAUGUUCCACCAGCACUGAAUUUAUAAGGCCGGCGGUGGAGAUGUAAAUCUGUGGUUCACACAGUCAGGAGGAGGGAUUUCAGCUUUUCCUCCCUGGGGCUCAGCUGUGGUUACACCCCCACCUCCACAUAUAAGGAACCCACCAGUGACUGCAGGCAGGCAGCAGGUAUACAGGGGGCCGGGUUUGCGAUUGGUGCAUUUUCCAAUGGCAGGAGGGACAAGGCUGCAAUAAGGGGCACAGUCCAGCUCAGCAGAAUCUUCCCCCAGUUCCAGGCACAGAGGCAGGCACUUGUGUGGGGAAGGAGGCUACAAUGGUGGUCUCUCCCCUCACAUGCCACCUAACAAUGUCACUUAGCCUCUGUGGCAUCCCAGACCUCCUCCUCAGAUAUUAUCAGUUGUGGUGUUCUGCCCUCCCACUCCUCCAGGCUGUCUUGCACAACCAACAGUCACCCAAUUUCUAGAUCUAUUCUCCAACACUCAGCCCCUGCCAAUGUAAGUGGAUGAGCAUCUCAGACUGGGGCAUGCAGGGCAUUUGCACAGACUGUCUCUGCAUGUCUUGUUCUUUUCCGCCUGCCAUAGACUGGCUAUUAUGGUUUCCUCUUAGCCUCCAAAGCUCCUUUCCUGGUAUCCCUGCUUGUGAGGGGACUCCCCCAGGUGUGACAACCUCCCCUCUCCUUUAGCUCUCACCCUGAGGCCUAGGUCCUGACCCCACUUCUGUCCCCCGCCCCUUUUGUCCUACUUGGUUAUGCAGAGAUUCCUCUUGUCCUUGUAGGUGUUUGAAUUCUCCUGCCAGUGUUCAGUAGUGAGGACUCUUCGAUUUGUAGAUGUAUUCCUGAUGUAUUUGUGAACAGCCAUGAAUUCUACAUCCCCCUACUCUGCCUCCUUGAUCUCUGAACCCUCUCAUACUAUUUUGAAUAGUAUCAUUGUGAAGAUUUAGACAGGUGGUUCUUUGUUUGCUUGUUUGCUUAUAAUAAUCUCCAGCCUUUAGAGAGUUUCUGAAUAUUUACAAAGGCCCUUUCCCAUUCAUGCUCUCAGUGGAGCCUCACAUCAACUUCAUAUUACAGUUGAGGAAAAUGAAACUUAAAGCGUUCAUGGGACUUGUUCAAAGUCACACAGUACAAAGAGGAGCUAGGAAUCUAAUCUUUUAACUCUCCAGAAACUCCAUGUGAUUAAAAAGAAGUAAAUCAGUUUAAUAAGACCUGCUGGAUUGAACAAGAAAUUUUUUUAGUGAAAAUAGCCUAAGAAGACACCAGAAUAAUGAGCAUUAUAAAACAGAGGCAUUACCAAAGCAAAGUGUUAUAGGACAAGUCUAGGAUUUGAAGGCUUUCACACCCAGGUUCAAACCCCAGCUCGAUCAUUAAUCACACAGUCACUGCUUGGAUAUGUGUCAUUUUCAUUCGUUUUAUUCUUUUCUGCCUCACUAGGGUGUUAACUUUGCAAGGACUCAUGCUUGUCAUUUUUUUUUUUUUUUUUUUUUAGACGAUGCUUAUGGCAUGUGGAAUUUCCUGGGCUAGGGAUUGAAUCUGAGCUGCAGCUAUGAAUUGAGCUGCAAAUGUGGCAAUGCUGGAUCCUUUAACCCACUAUGCUCGGCCAGGGAUUGAACCCACACCUCUGCAGCAGCCUGAGCCACUGCAGUUGGAUUCUUAACCCACUGUACCAUGGGGGGAACUCAGAGGUUUGUCAUUCUUAUCCACCCCUGAAUUCUCAGCACUCAUCCCAGGGCCUGGCAUAUAGUAGGUGCUCACAAAUACCUCUUAAAUAUGUUUCUUUACAUAGCAAGUACUGUUCCCCUCUGAGCCCCCAGCUCCACCAUUUGCAAAAUGGUGUAGGAAUAAAGGAUACUAAAGCUUAAGGUAAAAUAGAAAUG
This 3565-nucleotide long non-coding RNA is filed under the name Sus scrofa (pig). Its description in RNAcentral is "lncRNA (ENSSSCG00000062016.1)". Lineage: Eukaryota; Metazoa; Chordata; Mammalia; Artiodactyla; Suidae. The record is from RNAcentral.